UACGGAGGGUGCAAGCGUUGUUCGGAAUUACUGGGCGUAAAGGGCGCGUAGGCGGUUGUGUUAGUCAGAUGUGAAAUACUUCAGCUCAACUGAAGAAAUGCAUUUGAUACUGCAUAACUAGAGUACAGGAGAGGGAAAUGGAAUUCCCGGUGUAGAGGUGAAAUUCGUAGAUAUCGGGAGGAACACCAGUGGCGAAGGCGAUUUCUUGGCCUGAUACUGACGCUGAGGCGCGAAAGCGUGGGGAGCAAACAGGAUUAGAUACCCUGGUAGUCCACGCUGUAAACGGUGAACACUAGGUGUGGGAGGUGUAAUACCUUCUGUGCCGAAGCUAACGCGUUAAGUGUUCCGCCUGGGAAGUACGGCCGCAAGGUUGAA
RNAcentral lists this ribosomal RNA (375 nucleotides) under uncultured bacterium. RNAcentral's name for it is "bacterial SSU rRNA". It matches the Rfam family "Bacterial small subunit ribosomal RNA", at positions 524 to 898 of the family's 1533-position model. The record is from RNAcentral.